This 948-nucleotide ribosomal RNA is filed under the name Triticum aestivum (bread wheat). RNAcentral's name for it is "partial small subunit ribosomal RNA". Lineage: Eukaryota; Viridiplantae; Streptophyta; Magnoliopsida; Poales; Poaceae. The record is from RNAcentral.
AUGUUAGAACAACCCAUCAAUGUUCUUAGUUGGAAUGUUCGGGGCCUCAACUGCCCGGAUCGUCGCGCCACUAUCAGUGAAACUGUUGCAUCAUCGUCCUGCCAGAUUGUUUGUUUGCUAGAAACCAAGCUUGACGCCGUCGACAAUUUCACAGCUCUGCUCCUUGGGGGCAACCGGCUGCGUGGCCAUGCCCAGAAGCCAGCCGAUGGCACGCGUGGUGGGAUCCUCUUGCUGUGGGACGACCAUCGUGUGUCCAUCUCGGAUGUCGUGGUCACUCCCUUUUGUCUAUCUGCCAUGGUGCACUGCAUUGGGUCCAAUGUUAAGUUCAAAAUUACCUCCGUCUACGGACCUACAUCGUCAACACUCAAAGAUGCUUUCUUUGCUGAGCUCCUCUCCCAGAAGCCUCCCUCCGGAGACCUAUGGCUUGCCCUUGGAGACUUCAACCAAAUCUACCGUGCUUGGGACAAGAACAAGCGCAACGACAACACUAGCUGCAUCAGCCGUUUCCGGACAACUCUCCAGGCUUGUGAGCUCAAGGAGAUCCACCUUCAGAACCGGCGCUUCACGUGGAGCAACGAGAGGCAGAACCCCACUUUAUGCAAGCUGGACUAUUUCUUCUGCAACGCGGAGUGGGAUGCCCAGUUCGGCACCCACAUCCUUCAUGCUCUGUCCUCCUCGUUAUCUGACCAUUGCCCCCUGUUGCUCGCGGAUGCAGUCGGGCCGACCAGGCCGAAGACUUUCCGAUUUGAGAACUUUUGGGCCUCCCUCCCGGGAUUCAAUGAAAUUGUCUCGGGGGCUUGGGAGGAGCAUUCAGAGCACUCUGAGCCUUUCCAGGUGCUGCAUCACAAGCUAAAAAAACAAGCGUCCGCCUCAGUGCUUGGAGCCACAGACUGCUCUCCAACGCCAAGGUUCAGCACCACGCCGCCCAUUGGGUUAUCUCCACCUUGA